AUAGCGUAUAUUAAAGUUGUAGCAGUUAAAAAGCUCGUAGUUGAACCUUGGGCCUGGCUGGCCGGUCCGCCUCACCGCGUGUACUGGUCCGGCCGGGCCUUUCCUUCUGGGGAACCUCAUGCCCUUCACUGGGCGUGUUGGGGAACCAGGACUUUUACUUUGAAAAAAUUAGAGUGUUCAAAGCAGGCCUUUGCUCGAAUACAUUAGCAUGGAAUAAUAGAAUAGGACGUGUGGUUCUAUUUUGUUGGUUUCUAGGACCGCCGUAAUGAUUAAUAGGGAUAGUCGGGGGCAUCAGUAUUCAAUCGUCAGAGGUGAAAUUCUUGGAUUGAUUGAAGACUAACUACUGCGAAAGCAUUUGCCAAGGAUGUUUUCAUUAAUCAGUGAACGAAAGUUAGGGGAUCGAAGACGAUCAGAUACCGUCGUAGUCUUAACCAUAAACUAUGCCGACUAGGGAUCGGACGGUGUUAGU
RNAcentral lists this ribosomal RNA (469 nucleotides) under uncultured eukaryote. RNAcentral describes it as "SSU rRNA". It matches the Rfam family "Eukaryotic small subunit ribosomal RNA", at positions 594 to 1067 of the family's 1831-position model. The record is from RNAcentral.